AGCGGGAAAAGCUCAAAUUUAAAAUCUGGCGUCCUCCGGGCGUCCGAGUUGUAAUCUGGAGAAGCGUUUUCCGCGUCGGACCGUGUACAAGUCUUCUGGAACGGAGCGUCAUAGAGGGUGAGAAUCCCGUCUCUGACACGGACUACCGAUGCUUUUGUGAUGCGCUCUCGAAGAGUCGAGUUGUUUGGGAAUGCAGCUCAAAAUGGGUGGUAAAUUCCAUCUAAAGCUAAAUAUUGGCCAGAGACCGAUAGCGAACAAGUACCGUGAGGGAAAGAUGAAAAGCACUUUGGAAAGAGAGUUAAACAGUACGUGAAAUUGUUGAAAGGGAAACGCUUGAAGUCAGUCGCGUUGGCCGAGACUCAGCCUGGCUUGCCUGGUGUACUUCUCGGUUGACGGGUCAGCAUCAGUUUUGACCGUCGGAUAAAGGUUGGAGGAAUGUGGCAUCCCUCGGGAUGUGUUAUAGCCUCUGAUUCGCAUACGGCGAUUGGGACUGAGGAACUCAGCACGCCUUUAUGGUCGGGGUUCGCCCACGUAACGUGCUUAGGAUGCUGGCAUAAUGGCUUUAAGCGACCCGUCUUGAAACACGGACCAAGGAGUCUAACAUGCCCGCGAGUGUUUGGGUGUUAAACCCGAGCGCGUAAUGAAAGUGAAAGUUGAGAUCCCUGUCGUGGGAGC
RNAcentral lists this ribosomal RNA (675 nucleotides) under Athelia abscondita. RNAcentral describes it as "partial large subunit ribosomal RNA". It matches the Rfam family "Eukaryotic large subunit ribosomal RNA", at positions 97 to 756 of the family's 3401-position model. Lineage: Eukaryota; Fungi; Basidiomycota; Agaricomycetes; Atheliales; Atheliaceae. The record is from RNAcentral.